Molecule: ribosomal RNA, 1450 nt
Filed under: Nanobdellota archaeon
Lineage: Archaea; Nanobdellati; Nanobdellota
Description: bacterial SSU rRNA
Rfam family: Archaeal small subunit ribosomal RNA
Source: RNAcentral
AAUCCAGUUGAUCCUGCUGGCGGCUGCGGCUCUCUGGUUUGCACUUAGACAUGCAAGUUUUUUUGUUAGUUCUUCGGAAUUAGUAAAAAGCAAACUGCUCAGUAACACGUAGCUAACCUACCCUUAGGUCAAGGAUAAGCUUGGGAAACUAAGUCUAAUACUUGAUAGGAGAUUUACCCUGGAAAGAUUAAUCUCUCAAACUCGUGCCCAAGGAUGGGGCUGCGGCGGAUUAGCUUGUUGGCGGGGUAAUGGCCCACCAAGGCAAUGAUCCGUAAGGGCUCUUAACGGAGAGGCCCUGAGAGGGAAUCUGAGAUACUAUUCCCAGCCCUACGGGGUGCAGCAGUUAGGAAUAAUCUACAAUGCGCGCAAGCGUGAUAGUUUGAGCCAGAGUGCUUUCCAAUUGGAAAGCUUUUGUGGAAUGUAAAAAGUUUUACGAAUAAGGACUGGGUAAGACUAGUGCCAGCCGCCGCGGUAAUACUAGCGGUCCAAGUCGCAGCCAUUUUUAUUGGGUCUAAAACAUCCGUAGCUUGCUCUAUAAGCCUCUUGUGAAAUCUUGUGUCUCAAACACAAGGCGUGCAGGAGGUACUGUAAAGCUAGAGACUGGGAGACGUAAGAAGUACGUUCAAAGUAGCGGUAAAAUGUUUUAAUCUUGAACGGACUAACAAUAGCGAAGGCAUCUUACGAGAACAGUUCUGACAGUCAGGGAUGAAGGCUAGGGGCGCAAAACAGAUUAGAUACCUGUGUAGUCCUAGCAGUAAACUCUGCACACUAAACAUCAGUUCCUCCUCGAGAGGCAUUGGUGCUGAAGGGAAGCCGGAGAGUGUGCUACCUGGGAAGUAUAGUCGCAAGGCCGAAACUUAAAGGAAUAGGCGGGGAGACACUACAACGGGUGACGCGUGCGGUUUAAUUUAAUUAUACACAGAGAACCUCACCAGGACCGACAGCAGAAUGAAGGUCAGUCUGAAGGGCUUACCUGACACGCUGAGAGGAGUUGCAUGGCCGACGUCAGCCUGUGUCGUGAGAUGACCUGUUAAAUCAGGUAACAGGCAAAACCCACAUGUAUAUUUACUAAUGAACUAUAUACAGAUUGCCUUGGUAACAAGGAUGAAAGUGUGGGCUACGUUAGGUCUGUAUAGCCCGACAGCCCUGGGCAACACGCGCGCGUCAAUGGUGAAUACAACGAGAUGCAACACCGAAAGGUGAAGCCAAUCUCUUAAAGUUCAUCUCAGUCCAGAUUGAGGUUUGUAACUCAGCCUCAUGACGCUGGAAUCCGUAGUAAUCGUUUGUUAGCAACGAACGGUGAAUACGUCACUGUCUCUUGCACUCACUGCCCGUCAAACCAACCAAGUUUAGUUAUGGUGAAACUUUUCGAAGGAAAACCUUGACUAGAUGAGGUAGGUUAAGUCGUCACAAGGUAUCUGUAGGGGAACCUGCAGAUGGAUCACCUCCU